This 495-nucleotide ribosomal RNA is filed under the name uncultured bacterium. RNAcentral's name for it is "partial 16S ribosomal RNA". It matches the Rfam family "Bacterial small subunit ribosomal RNA", at positions 28 to 507 of the family's 1533-position model. The record is from RNAcentral.
GACGAACGCUGGCGGCGUGCCUAAUACAUGCAAGUAGAACGCUGAAGGAGGAGCUUGCUUCUCUGGAUGAGUUGCGCACGGGUGAGUAACGCGUAGGUAACCUGCCUGGUAGGGGGGGACAACUAUUGGAAACGAUAGCUAAUACAGCAUAAGAGUAGAUGUUGCAUGACAUUUUCUUAAAAGGUGCAAUUCCAUCACUACCAGAUGGACCUGCGUUGUAUUAGCUAGUUGGUGGGGUAACGGCGCACCAAGGCGACGAUACAUAGCCGACCUGGGAGGGUGAACGGCCACACUGGGACUGGGAAAAGGCCCAGACUCCUACGGGAGGGAGCAGGAGGGAAUCUUCGGAAAUGGACGGAAGGCUGACCGAGGAACGCCGCGGGAGGGAAGAAGGGUUUCGGAUCGUAAAGCUCCGUUGUAAGAGAAGAACGAGUGUGAAAGUGGAAAGUUCACACUGUGACGGUACCUUAACAGAAAGGGACGGCUAACUACGUG